This 468-nucleotide ribosomal RNA is filed under the name uncultured bacterium. RNAcentral describes it as "partial 16S ribosomal RNA". It matches the Rfam family "Bacterial small subunit ribosomal RNA", at positions 28 to 507 of the family's 1533-position model. The record is from RNAcentral.
GACGAACGCUGGCGGCGUGCUUAACACAUGCAAGUCGAACGGAAAGGCCCUGCUUUUGUGGUGUUCUCGAGUGGCGAACGGGUGAGUAACACGUGAGUAACCUGCCCUUGACUUUGGGAUAACUUCAGGAAACUGGGGCUAAUACCGGAUAGGAGCUCCUGCUGCAUGGUGGGGGUUGGAAAUUUGCGGCGGGUGGGGAUGGACUCGCGGCUUAUCAGCUUGUUGGUUGGGUAGUGGCUUACCAAGGCUUUGACGGGUAGGCGGCCUGAGAGGGUGACCGGCCACAUUGGGACUGCGAUACGGCCCAGACGCCAACGGGAGGCAGCAGUGGGGAACAUUGCACAAUGGGCGGAAGCCUGAUGCAGAAACGCCGCGUGCGGGAUGACGGCCUUCGGGUUGUAAACCGCUUUCGCCUGUGACGAAGCGUGAGUGACGGUAAUGGGUAAAGAAGCACCGGCUAACUACGUG